Molecule: ribosomal RNA, 253 nt
Filed under: uncultured bacterium
Lineage: Bacteria
Description: partial 16S ribosomal RNA
Rfam family: Bacterial small subunit ribosomal RNA
Source: RNAcentral
UACGUAUGGGGCAAGCGUUAUCCGGAUUUACUGGGUGUAAAGGGAGCGUAGGCGGCGGGGCAAGCCUGAUGUGAAAGCCCGGGGCUCAACCCCGGGACUGCAUUGGGAACUGCCCUGCUGGAGUGCCGGAGGGGCAGGCGGAAUUCCUAGUGUAGCGGUGAAAUGCGUAGAUAUUAGGAGGAACACCAGUGGCGAAGGCGGCCUGCUGGACGGUGACUGACGCUGAGGCUCGAAAGCGUGGGGAGCGAACAGG